UCGCACUUAGAAGACGAGCACUGCUAUGAGUCUAAGGUUGCAGUCUGUCCGAUCUGUGGAACCAAAGUUUGGAAAGACAUGGCCGGCCACAUAAUGCUAGACCACAGUCAGCUUUUCAAGAUAUCCUUUCAAACGUUUUGAAACACGAACAAAAUCAGAUAAUUCUCCUUGA
Long non-coding RNA from Selaginella moellendorffii, 172 nucleotides. RefSeq lists it as uncharacterized. The transcript is spliced from 2 exons. NCBI's taxonomy places the organism in Eukaryota, Viridiplantae, Streptophyta, Lycopodiopsida, Selaginellales, Selaginellaceae. The record is from RefSeq and is a predicted model, not a curated record.